UAGGAGUAUCGGAUUGCGACGAGACUUGGUUCGUUGGAUUCGGGACUUCGAAAGGAAUCCACGAAACCCUUACUUGCGAAUUUUGGUGAAGUUUGGAGUUAGCUCGAUUUCGAGACUCGGGCAUUUUUGGUCGAUCCAGCAGGUGGUGUCGCAGCCGAGGGGGUUCCGUGCUGCCAGGGAUUAGCGUGCGAGAGCCACAGGUUCCGGCUGCUGCACCGUC
Long non-coding RNA from Ananas comosus (pineapple), 220 nucleotides. RefSeq lists it as uncharacterized. The transcript is spliced from 3 exons. The record is from RefSeq and is a predicted model, not a curated record. NCBI's taxonomy places the organism in Eukaryota, Viridiplantae, Streptophyta, Magnoliopsida, Poales, Bromeliaceae.